RNAcentral lists this unclassified non-coding RNA (101 nucleotides) under Yersinia pestis Angola. Lineage: Bacteria; Pseudomonadati; Pseudomonadota; Gammaproteobacteria; Enterobacterales; Yersiniaceae. RNAcentral also lists the same sequence under 4 other names. The record is from RNAcentral.
GCGAUUCAGAACAAGGCAGGCAGUCUUUGGCUUUGGUCAGAAAAGCACGACAUUGCUCACAUUGCUUCCAGUAUUUUAAGCCAGCUCGGGUGCUGGCUUUU